GGUACCUUGAAAAGCAGUCCUGCGAGACUGACAAGGUAGACGACAUUUAGUGGGCAAUAGCAUCAUAUUUUAUUCUGUUGCCAGUUGGUCUACAGGCUUCUUGUCAGUUUAUCUGAUAAGAAGUCUUUUUU
Molecule: regulatory RNA element, 131 nt
Organism: Sporomusa sp. An4
Lineage: Bacteria; Bacillati; Bacillota; Negativicutes; Selenomonadales; Sporomusaceae
Rfam family: PyrR binding site
About the family: This family represents the PyrR binding site and terminator structure.
Source: Rfam